This 387-nucleotide ribosomal RNA is filed under the name uncultured bacterium. Its description in RNAcentral is "bacterial SSU rRNA". It matches the Rfam family "Archaeal small subunit ribosomal RNA", at positions 339 to 726 of the family's 1478-position model. The record is from RNAcentral.
GCGCGAAAACUUUACAAUGCUGGCAACAGCGAUAAGGGAACCUCGAGUGCCAGGUUACAAAUCUGGCUGUCGAGAUGCCUAAAAAGCAUUUCAUAGCAAGGGCCGGGCAAGGCCGGUGCCAGCCGCCGCGGUAACACCGGCGGCUCGAGUGGUAACCGUUAUUAUUGGGUCUAAAGGGUCUGUAGCCGGCCGGAUAGGUCUCUUGGGAAAUCUGGCAGCUCAACUGUCAGGCUUUCAGGAGAUACUGUCUGGCUCGAGGCCGGGAGAGGUGAGAGGUACUUUAGGGGUAGGGGUGAAAUCUUGUAAUCCUUGAAGGACCACCAGUGGCGAAGGCGUCUCACCAGAACGGACCUGACGGCAAGGGACGAAAGCUAGGGGCACGAACCG